RNAcentral lists this transfer RNA (73 nucleotides) under Chloroflexota bacterium. Its description in RNAcentral is "Chloroflexi bacterium (groundwater metagenome) tRNA-Val". It matches the Rfam family "tRNA". Rfam says of the family: Transfer RNA (tRNA) molecules are approximately 80 nucleotides in length. Their secondary structure includes four short double-helical elements and three loops (D, anti-codon, and T loops). Lineage: Bacteria; Bacillati; Chloroflexota. The record is from RNAcentral.
GGGCGGUUAGUUCAGUUGGUGGAACGCACGCUUCACAUGCGUGAAGUCAUAGGUUCGAGCCCUAUACCGCCCA